AGCAGCCGCGGUAAUUCCAGCUCCAAUAGCGUAUAUUAAAGUUGUUGCAGUUAAAAAGCUCGUAGUUGAAUUUCGGGAUCAAUUUGCUGGUCGUGCCUCUGGUACGUACUGGUAUUAUUGGUUUCUCCCUUCUGACGAACCAUGAUGUCAUUAAUUUGAUGUCGUGGAGAAUCAGGACUGUUACUUUGAAAAAAUUAGAGUGUUUAAAGCAGGCAUUAGCUUGAAUACAUUAGCAUGGAAUAAUGAAAUAGGACGUUUGAUCCUAUUUUGUUGGUUUCUAGGAUUGACGUGAUGAUUAAUAGGGAUAGUUGGGGGGUCAUUAGUAUUCAAUUGUCAGAGGUGAAAUUCUUGAUUUAUUGAAGACUAACUACUGCGAAAGCAUUUUGCCAAGGAUGUUUUCAUUAAUCAAGAACGAAAGUUAGGGGAUCGAAGACGAUCAGAUACCGUCGUAGUCUUAACCAUAAACUAUGCCGACUAGGGAUCGGAUGAUGUUAAUUUUUUCAAUGACUCAUUCGGCGCC
RNAcentral lists this unclassified non-coding RNA (520 nucleotides) under uncultured Glomus. RNAcentral's name for it is "SSU rRNA". It matches the Rfam family "Eukaryotic small subunit ribosomal RNA", at positions 569 to 1087 of the family's 1831-position model. The record is from RNAcentral. Lineage: Eukaryota; Fungi; Glomeromycota; Glomeromycetes; Glomerales; Glomeraceae.